CAAGUCGAACGAGAAAGUGGAGCAAUCCAUGAGUAAAGUGGCGACCGGGUGAGUAACACGUGACUAACCUACCCUCGAGUGGGGAAUAACCUCGGGAAACCGAGGCUAAUACCGCAUAACACCGCAAGAUCAAAGCAGAAAUGCGCUUGAGGAGGGGGUCGCGGCUGAUUAGCUAGUUGGUAGGGUAAUGGCCUACCAAGGCUUAGAUCGGUAGCCGGCCUGAGAGGGCGCACGGCCACACUGGAACUGAAACACGGUCCAGACUCCUACGGGAGGCAACAGUGGGGAAUUUUGCGCAAUGGGGGAAACCCUGACGCAGCAACGCCGCGUGGAGGAUGAAGUCCCUUGGGACGUAAACUCCUUUCGACCGGGAAGAUACUGACGGUACCGGAUGAAGAAGCACCGGCUAACUCUGUGCCAGCAGCCGCGGUAAUACAGAGGGUGCGAGCGUUGUUCGGAAUUAUUGGGCGUAAAGGGCGCGUAGGCGGCGCGGUAUGUCACCUGUGAAAUCUCCUGGCUCAACUGGGAGCUUGCAGGCGAAACUGCCGUGCUGGAGUGUGGGAGAGGUGCGUGGAAUUCCCGGUGUAGCGGUGAAAUGCGUAGAUAUCGGGAGGAACACCUGUGGCGAAAGCGGCGCACUGGACCACAACUGACGCUGAGGCGCGAAAGCUAGGGGAGCAAACAGGAUUAGAUACCCUGGUAGUCCUAGCCCUAAACGAUGGAUGCUUGGUGUGAUCGGUACCCAAUCCGAUCGUGCCGCAGCUAACGCGAUAAGCAUCCCGCCUGGGGAGUACGGUCGCAAGGCUGAAACUCAAAGGAUUGACGGGGGCCCGCACAAGCGGUGGA
This 846-nucleotide ribosomal RNA is filed under the name uncultured Acidobacteriota bacterium. Its description in RNAcentral is "bacterial SSU rRNA". It matches the Rfam family "Bacterial small subunit ribosomal RNA", at positions 58 to 936 of the family's 1533-position model. Lineage: Bacteria; Pseudomonadati; Acidobacteriota. The record is from RNAcentral.